This 193-nucleotide ribosomal RNA is filed under the name uncultured Pseudomonas sp. RNAcentral describes it as "partial 16S ribosomal RNA". It matches the Rfam family "Bacterial small subunit ribosomal RNA", at positions 340 to 525 of the family's 1533-position model. The record is from RNAcentral. Lineage: Bacteria; Pseudomonadati; Pseudomonadota; Gammaproteobacteria; Pseudomonadales; Pseudomonadaceae.
UACGGGAGGCAGCAGUGGGGAAUAUUGGACAAUGGGCGAAAGCCUGAUCCAGCCAUGCCGCGUGUGUGAAGAAGGUCUUCGGAUUGUAAAGCACUUUAAGUUGGGAGGAAGGGCAGUAAGCGAAUACCUUGCUGUUUUGACGUUACCGACAGAAUAAGCACCGGCUAACUCUGUGCCAGCAGCCGCGGUAAUA